UUUAUUUUCUCUGAUACUGAACUUUAAAAGGAGGGGUUGGAGCAAAGCGGUAGAGAAAUUUCUCCCGUUUUUUUCGGAAUUCUCUCGGCAAUGCUGGCUCCUCCAGUGGAAGGCACGCAGCUUUUGCCUCCAGCUCGGGAGCUUUGUGCCCGUCUCAUCUCACAUUUAUUUUUCCAGUGCCAGGCGCUGCCACGGGGCAUGGAAAGGGGCGUUAGUGCCGCAAAACGGGCGUUUUAAACUUAUUUUUGAAGAGAGUUUUUUGCUGGAAGGCAAAUCCCGGGCUGCGACGGCGGGGGCGAUCAGUCUCGGAUGAUCCAGGAGGAUUCUGAGCUCGGAAAUCCGGGAUUUUCGGCGCCUCCUCUCCAUGGAGGGCAUUUUCCUGCCUUCUCUGGGCACUUCUGCUGCUGCCUGGGCCAUGCGGUGCCACCGCUUCGGCGUCCUCCAGACAAAGGAAAUGCCAACAAAAGCUGCAUUUUGAAGCAAGUGGGUGCACACUGAAGGACAGCGGCAGAGAAGCUCUGAAGCCGUCCCCAGGCCUGCAGGGCUGUGCUGGCCAUGUCCAGGCAGCUCCUGCCUGUCCACAGCCUCUGUCCUGGGCACCCACAGCCUCUGCCUUGGCUAUGAGGACCUUUUGCUCCAUCCUUGACCAGGAACCCCACAGAGAGACAAACCUUUCUUGCCUCAGGGUUGGAAAGCCUCGUGGCUCCCUUCUGGUUCGCUCCAGCAAGUGCUUCCUUCCUCAAGUGGAGGUUUUGGUAAUUCAGGAUAUUUUAAUAGUUCACCCCAAAGGCUGAACAGUAGCUGCAUGCCUUCAAAGGCACCCAUGGAACCCAGAGCAGAAGGAGGCUGAAGCCUGAAAACAAUCAAAUUCAUUUCCAUCAGACCAUCUCAGCCUCUGAUGUGAUGCUGUCCUCAGCUUCAGCUCACCUCCAAACCAACAUGAAAAAAAGAACCAAACCAGGAAAAAACCCACAAACCCCAAACCUAAACUGAAUACCAAAAUUCUCCCUUUCUGUAGUGGCAGGGAGCUCUGUUUUGUCUGGGUAAAAUUGGGUGAAGUGUCCCCCCGGCACCUACCCCGGCUCAGCUGCCUGGAGCCCUCCAUCCAGCAGGUGCCUUUUCUUCUGCCUCAAAGGGCUUCGAUCUGGACAGCUUUUUUGGAGAAUGGCUGUUGUAAAGGAUGCCUGGCACGAACACGGCCUGAUUACAGCCCAGCUCGUUAAAAAAAUGUUCCCUAGGUAUUGAGGGGGAUAACAAGGAUAUUUAAACAUUCCCAGCGUGCACCUUUAAGCGGCAGAAAAUACGGGAAAUUGCUAUCGUUUAAUUCAGUAUUGCUCCUUUUGAGCUCCCACUGGCUCUGCCUGCAAUUGUUCCUUCACCAGAGCUCGGAGCCGAGUCUGGAUUACGGCAGCAUCGGGUCCGGAGGGCUGGGAGGGCUGAGCACAGCAGGACCAGCUUCCCCACAUGGCAAAAGGCUGAUGGGGCUGGUUUCCAUUUGGAUUCUGAAAGAUUUCCCUCAAUAGCCCAGAGCAGGGUCUGGGUUUGAGGCCCACAGCCCCAGUUUGUAAUUACUCUCAUAUUUUGUGUGCGCCAGGGAGAGGGUGGAGCAGCGUUUCUUUUUUGUCUGUAUCUCUGAGGAAGCUUUUUCCAAAGAGAGAGCAAAAAAAAUCCACAGCUGGUGUUGGUGGAUGAGACACUCACCAUGUUCUGGUAGGGGGAAAAAAGACAAAGU
This 1732-nucleotide long non-coding RNA is filed under the name Parus major (Great Tit). RNAcentral describes it as "lncRNA (ENSPMJG00000009911.1)". The record is from RNAcentral. Lineage: Eukaryota; Metazoa; Chordata; Aves; Passeriformes; Paridae.